RNAcentral lists this ribosomal RNA (305 nucleotides) under uncultured bacterium. RNAcentral's name for it is "bacterial SSU rRNA". It matches the Rfam family "Bacterial small subunit ribosomal RNA", at positions 334 to 636 of the family's 1533-position model. The record is from RNAcentral.
GACCCUACGGGGGGCAGCAGUGAGGAAUAUUGGUCAAUGGGCGCGAGCCUGAACCAGCCAAGUCGCGUGAGGGAUGACGGCCCUACGGGUUGUAAACCUCUUUUGCCGGGGAGCAACGGGCGCCACGUGUGGCGCCACUGAGAGUACCCGGAGAAAAAGCAUCGGCUAACUCCGUGCCAGCAGCCGCGGUAAUACGGAGGAUGCGAGCGUUAUCCGGAUUUAUUGGGUUUAAAGGGAGCGUAGGUGGAUUGUUAAGUCAGUUGUGAAAGUUUGCGGCUCAACCGUAAAAUUGAAGUUGCAACUGG